GCGCCCGUAGCUCAGCUGGAUAGAGCACCAGCCUCCGGAGCUGGGUGUCGGAGGUUCGAAUCCUCUCGGGCGUACCA
RNAcentral lists this transfer RNA (77 nucleotides) under bacterium. Its description in RNAcentral is "tRNA-Arg". It matches the Rfam family "tRNA". From Rfam's summary of the family: Transfer RNA (tRNA) molecules are approximately 80 nucleotides in length. Their secondary structure includes four short double-helical elements and three loops (D, anti-codon, and T loops). RNAcentral also lists the same sequence under 6 other names. The record is from RNAcentral.